Molecule: long non-coding RNA, 2264 nt
Organism: Astatotilapia calliptera (eastern happy)
Lineage: Eukaryota; Metazoa; Chordata; Actinopteri; Cichliformes; Cichlidae
Source: Ensembl
CUCCGCCACACCAUCUUGUGCUCUUUGAUAGAAGAAAUUCAACGUCACUUCUUCAAGUUCAACCUGACAUAGGCCGGCCAUCUUGAGAGUUCACAAUUAUAUUUUGUACAGGGAUGGUUAGCAGUAGACAACUGUGCACUUGUCGUAGCAUGGGGAACCGUUCCAGUUAAGAACUGGUACCACACUGCACAGUCUUCAUCUUUAACUACAGCUGCAGGUAUCAGCCCACCAAAAGCUUCAGGCAAGUUUUACUGGGUUAUACACUAGGUUCAGAUUUUGCAGCAUCCCAAUAUUCCCUUUAAAGGAAAGACCAAGGGUAGAUUGGCUUUAUUUUGUGCACUGUGUAAAGUUGUAUCUUCAACUUUUUGCCAUCUUUUCUUACCAAAGACUGAGCAUUAGCCCAUGUAACAUGGAUUUUCUUGUCAAAGAAACAGACUAGACUUAACUUGCUCUCGACCAAGUUAAGUCUAGUUGUUAAAGCUCAAACACCUUCAGAACUGAAGUUGCUGUAACACAUACAGCCAAAUUCAAAAAAGUUUCGGGGGCUUUUUUGUUUUUGUAAAUAGUUUUGAUGAAGAAAAGCACCAAGACUUCUUUUUUUUUUCUACUCAAAAAAAUACACAGACGUGAAAUGGUUUUAUGCUCAUGUUGAGCAUUAAAUCAGCUGGGUUUUUCUUCUUCUUCUCUUUUUUUCUUCUUCUCAGUCUGAAUCUUGCAUGUGGCUUCAGUGUGAAGACAGUUUUAGGAGGCACUUGUUUACACAGUUGCUCCAAGCUCCAACUGUUUGUAAAUACUGUAAAUCCCCAAUUUUGAAUAUAUCUGAUAUUUUUUGUUACUAACUAUGGUAACUAGGGAAUUGGCUAAUAUUUGAUUGUCUAUGAAUCCUUUGUGUAUUUGGUGGUUUGUGGAAAAAAUGGCAAAUGGCUGACUGAAUAUGACAGUGGAUCCUGUAGAUAUGGUGCAGGGGGAUGGCAGGCAUGAAAGAGAGUCAUUUUCCUCUGUGGCAACUUAAGAUCCUGCUUGUGUCACCUGAAUAUAGCAGAAACAAGUGUUGUGCUUUUCUCCUCACAUUUAUCUGUUUGUAUAUAAAAUUAAAUAUCAUAACCUGUCUAUUUUGCUAGAAAUAGUAUGGAGGGGUUUUCAUAAAGGCUCAUGGCUGCCCAGAGUGUCCACUAGAGGGCAACACCAGAUCCAGCAGUGAGUGUACUACAGUGAUUCCACAGCUUGUUUUUUCUCUUCGCCUGCAGGAAUAAUAAUGAUAAUAAUAAUAAUAACGAUAAUAAUAAUAAAGUUAAACUGACUAUCAUUCCCUUGUUUCCUUCAACCAACAAUUUUAAAAAGAAAGUGUUUUACUUUUUGAAUAGAUUGGAUUAGCUUAAUCGCUUUCUUUCACCAGCAAAGUUCAAAGAUCUUCAGGAUCAUGGCUCAACAGCUAUGAAUAAGUAAAGUGACACACAUCGGUACACCCUGAAAUAAUUUUGCACUUGAUAUAUUAUCUGCUGAUUAUUAGUAAUUUAAAAAAAAUUCUAGGUGACAACUUUAACUUUAGCAUAAAAUAUUUUUAUGAAUAAUUAGUCACUUUGCCAAAACAAAUUGCAGGAAAUUGUAUUUUUUUAAGUCAGCUACCAUAGACAUCUCCAACUUAUAUUGAUAGACAGAAAUAAAAGAGUACUUCAAUAAAAGAUGUACUUUUCCUUUGUGUCAAACAAAUCUCCGUAAAUGUAAUUAGUAAAUAUAAUUAUGAAGUCUAUAACUUGUAAUUUAUAUGCACAUGUUUGUGUAAAACAAAAAAGGUAAAUUUGACAACCAUGCAUAAGUCAAAUUUACCUGCAGGAGAAAAAAACAAGUGGAAACUACGCUGGCCAGAAAAGUUCAGUUCCAACUUUUCCUAGAAGCAACAGCAGUGCUGACAUGCUGGUGUGCUCCUUCACAUUCUACUUGCUGACAGCAUAAUGUGUUGCCUGAGUCCAGCAUGAAAUACUUGGUUAUUUAUUUGUUUUGUAUUCUAAACAUAAUGUUUAUUUUCAUUAAAACUGAUGAAAAGUUGUGACUGGAAUGCGUGUGGGUUUUUCUUUGUUUGUUUUUAAUAAUGUGCUCUCAGCUUGGUCCAUAAAAUGAUUCCUUGCUACAGAGAAAUGCCUUUUCCAAGUCCAAAAAACACGUGUGGACUGGUUGGGUAAAAUCGCAUGCACCCAAAAUAUCCUUGAGAGGAUAAAAAGCUGGUCCAGAUUGAGGAGUGUUCCUCUGCUGUGUCUGUAGAAAGC